This 256-nucleotide ribosomal RNA is filed under the name uncultured bacterium. RNAcentral's name for it is "partial 16S ribosomal RNA". It matches the Rfam family "Bacterial small subunit ribosomal RNA", at positions 521 to 776 of the family's 1533-position model. The record is from RNAcentral.
UAAUACGAAGGGGGCUAGCGUUGUUCGGAAUUACUGGGCGUAAAGCGCACGUAGGCGGAUAUUUAAGUGAGGGGUGAAAUCCCAGGGCUCAACCCUGGAACUGCCUUUCAUACUGGGUAUCUCGAGUUCGAGAGAGGUGAGUGGAAUUGCGAGUGUAGAGGUGAAAUUCGUAGAUAUUCGCAGGAACACCAGUGGCGAAGGCGGCUCACUGGCUCGAUACUGACGCUGAGGUGCGAAAGCGUGGGGAGCAAACAGG